This 460-nucleotide ribosomal RNA is filed under the name uncultured bacterium. RNAcentral describes it as "partial 16S ribosomal RNA". It matches the Rfam family "Bacterial small subunit ribosomal RNA", at positions 338 to 795 of the family's 1533-position model. The record is from RNAcentral.
ACUACGGGAGGCAGCAGUGAGGAAUAUUGGUCAAUGGCCGCAAGGCUGAACCAGCCAAGCCGCGUGAAGGAAGACGGCUCUAUGGUUUGUAAACUUCUUUUAUACGGGGAUAAAGGUCGCUACGUGUGGCUGUUUGAAUGUAUCCUAUGAAUAAGCAUCGGCUAACUCCGUGCCAGCAGCCGCGGUAAUACGGAGGAUGCGAGCGUUAUCCGGAUUUAUUGGGUUUAAAGGGUGCGUAGGCUGUUUUAUAAGUUAGAGGUGAAAGGUUGGGGCUCAACCCCAAAAUUGCCGUUAAUACUGGAGGACUAGAGAAUGUUUGCGGUAGGCGGAAUGCGUGGUGUAGCGGUGAAAUGCUUAGAGAUCACGCAGAACACCGAUUGCGAAGGCAGCUUACCAAGCCAUAACUGACGCUGAGGCACGAAAGCGUGGGGAUCAAACAGGAUUAGAUACCCUAGUAGUC